AUUCCAGCUCCAAUAGCGUAUAUUAAAGCUGUUGCAGUUAAAAAGCUCGUAGUUGGAUUUCUGGCAUGAUGCGCCUGGCCCGCUCCGAUUACGGAUGUGUGUGCUAGUGCGCGUCUGCCAUCCAUUUACAGAAUGUAUCUACCCUUCAUUGGGCCGGAUAUGUGAUGUAAAUCUUUUACUUUGAAAAAAUUAGAGUGUUUAAAGCAGGCAUUUGCUAUGAAUACAUUAGCAUGGAAUAAUAAUCUAGGACUUCGGUUUUAUUUUGUUGGUUUCUAAAUCUGGAGUAAUGAUUGAUAGGGAUAGUUGGGGGUGCUAGUAUUUAGGGGCCAGAGGUGAAAUUCUUGGAUUCUCUAAAGACUAACUUAUGCGAAAGCAUUCACCAAGGAUGUCUUCAUCA
RNAcentral lists this ribosomal RNA (397 nucleotides) under Mataza sp. RNAcentral describes it as "partial small subunit ribosomal RNA". It matches the Rfam family "Eukaryotic small subunit ribosomal RNA", at positions 582 to 975 of the family's 1831-position model. The record is from RNAcentral. Lineage: Eukaryota; Cercozoa; Thecofilosea.